AAUUCGAUGCAACGCGAAAACCUACCACUUCGACAUCGUACGGAACCCUUUAGAGAUAGAGGGGUGCUCGAAAGAGAGCCGUAACACAGGUGCUGCAUGGCUGUCGUCAGCUCGUGUCGUGAGAUGUUGGGUUAAGUCCGCAACGAGCGCAACCCUUGUCAUUAGUUGCUACAUUCAGUUGGGCACUCUAAUGAGACUGCCGGUGACAAGCCGGAGGAAGGUGGGGAUGACGUCAAGUCCUCAUGGCCCUUAUAGGUGGGGCUACACACGUCAUACAAUGGCUGGUACAAAGGGUUGCCAACCCGCGAGGGGGAGCCAAUCCCAUAAAGCCAGUCGUAGUCCGGAUCGUAGUCUGCAACUCGACUACGUGAAGUCGGAAUCGCUAGUAAUCGUGGAUCAGAAUGUCACGGUGAAUACGUUCCCGGGUCUU
RNAcentral lists this ribosomal RNA (430 nucleotides) under uncultured Rhodoferax sp. RNAcentral's name for it is "bacterial SSU rRNA". It matches the Rfam family "Bacterial small subunit ribosomal RNA", at positions 948 to 1382 of the family's 1533-position model. The record is from RNAcentral. Lineage: Bacteria; Pseudomonadati; Pseudomonadota; Betaproteobacteria; Burkholderiales; Comamonadaceae.